Molecule: small nucleolar RNA, 138 nt
Filed under: Ornithorhynchus anatinus (platypus)
Lineage: Eukaryota; Metazoa; Chordata; Mammalia; Monotremata; Ornithorhynchidae
Source: RNAcentral
GCCCUCUCAGGGUCGCAUCUAGAGAGUUUCCAGGACUCUACCAGUCAUGACUAUGGGAGGGAGAGUCAAGCAGAGGCCUACCCAUUCCAUUCCUAGCUUGGUCAGUGGCUAGCUAGUGGAAGGCAAUCUGAUACAGGU